GAUGAACGCUAGCUACAGGCUUAACACAUGCAAGUCGAGGGGAAACGGCAUUAAGUGCUUGCACUUUUUGGACGUCGACCGGCGCACGGGUGAGUAACGCGUAUCCAACCUUCCCAUGACUAAGGGAUAACCUGCCGAAAGGCAGACUAAUACCUUAUGGUCUUCACUGACGGCAUCAGAUGUGAAGUAAAGAUUUAUCGGUUAUGGAUGGGGAUGCGUCUGAUUAGCUUGUUGGCGGGGUAACGGCCCACCAAGGCAACGAUCAGUAGGGGUUCUGAGAGGAAGGUCCCCCACAUUGGAACUGAGACACGGUCCAAACUCCUACGGGAGGCAGCAGUGAGGAAUAUUGGUCAAUGGGCGAGAGCCUGAACCAGCCAAGUAGCGUGCAGGAUGACGGCCCUAUGGGUUGUAAACUGCUUUUGUAUGGGGAUAAAGUCAAUCACGUGUGAUUGUUUGCAGGUACCAUACGAAUAAGGACCGGCUAAUUCCGUGCCAGCAGCCGCGGUAAUACGGAAGGUCCGGGCGUUAUCCGGAUUUAUUGGGUUUAAAGGGAGCGUAGGCUGGAGAUUAAGUGUGUUGUGAAAUGUAGACGCUCGACGUCUGACUUGCAGCGCAUACUGGUUUCCUUGAGUACGCACAACGUUGGCGGAAUUCGUCGUGUAGCGGUGAAAUGCUUAGAUAUGACGAAGAACUCCGAUUGCGAAGGCAGCUGACGGGAGCGCAACUGACGCUGAAGCUCGAAGGUGCGGGUAUCGAACAGG
Molecule: ribosomal RNA, 761 nt
Filed under: Prevotella melaninogenica
Lineage: Bacteria; Pseudomonadati; Bacteroidota; Bacteroidia; Bacteroidales; Prevotellaceae
Description: bacterial SSU rRNA
Rfam family: Bacterial small subunit ribosomal RNA
Source: RNAcentral